GACGAACGCUGGCGGCGUGCUUAACACAUGCAAGUCGAACGGAAAGGCCCUGCUUGCAGGGUACUCGAGUGGCGAACGGGUGAGUAACACGUGGGUGAUCUGCCCUGCACUUCGGGAUAAGCUUGAGCAACUGGGUCUAAUACCGGAUAGGAGACAUCUUGAGUGUGGUGGUUGGAAAGUUUUUUCGGUGUAUGAUGAGCUCGCUGCCUAUCAGCUUGUUGGUGGGGUAAUGGCCUACCAAGGCGGAGACGGGUAGCCGGCCUGAGAGGGUGUACCGCCACAUUCAGACUGAGACACAGCCCAGACUAGUACGGGAGGCAGCAGUGGGAAAUAUUGCACAAUGAGAGCAAGCCUGAUGUAGCGACGCCGAGUGGGAGAUGAAGGCCUUCGGGUUGUAAAAUCCCUUGGCUAGGGAAGAAGCUUUGUUGUGACGGUACUUAGAUAAGAAGCACCGGGUAACUAAGUG
Molecule: ribosomal RNA, 466 nt
Filed under: uncultured bacterium
Lineage: Bacteria
Description: partial 16S ribosomal RNA
Rfam family: Bacterial small subunit ribosomal RNA
Source: RNAcentral